Molecule: long non-coding RNA, 1774 nt
Organism: Mauremys mutica (yellowpond turtle)
Lineage: Eukaryota; Metazoa; Chordata; Testudines; Geoemydidae
Exons: 3
Source: RefSeq, a predicted model, not a curated record
CCGAGCCGCGCGACCAGCGGCCCCUCCGCAGUCAUGCCCGCGGGAGGUCCGCUGCUCCCGCGGCUCCGGGGCGCCUCCCGCGCAUGACUGCUUGGGGCGGCCAAAAAGGUAGAGCCGCCCCUGUACAAAGGCAUAGACUACCUGCACAAUCCCUAGGAGCUGCAAGAUUUUGGUAUCAAAAAGGAAAGCUUGACUGUAUUGUUUUGUGUGUCAUCACUAUUAUGAACUGCCCGUAAUCCAUAUGAAUGUAUUUUUGUUUGCUGUCUUGGUAAUAGAAUUAACAUAUCUCAAUCAAAACUGGAAAUUUAAGACUGUUUACAGAGGCUUUGAAAAUUGUAAACUCUUUGUGAAAGUGAGUAGGCUCAAGACCUCCUCAACAAACAGAAUAAAUUAGAAGAUUGAAGUAAAGACCUUUGUCAUUUUUUAAGAUUGUGCUCAAUAUUGCUUGCAGUCAUCUUAAUCAUCUUGCUUUAGUCAUAACUUGGUGGUUCAGUGUUUAACAAACUGAACACUACCUUUGUCCAUCUGUGUCCUACAAUUAUUUCUAACUGGUUUUUUAAUCUUAACGAAGGUGUCAUAGUGAGCCUACAUUAUCUCAGGAGCCCAAGGUUACCAAGGCAGCGUAAUGUAGUUUUCUCUUCACUGCAUUGGCUUGGAAGCUCCUGGGCCUUUCAGAGGAGUUAGAUACCAGGACCACCCUGAGAUGGAGAACACGAAGGACCCCUAAUAUGAGAUCAUCGCUACUCACCCUAGAAGAGACAUGAAGAGCUCAUCCAGCAAAGCAGCAUCAUACCCAUCCUGCAUGGCCUUUCUUAAGAAUCAGAUACCAAUGACGACUCAUGUUCUGCCUCCAGGAAGCUACAGGGCUGAUAUGAAACACUCUGAAAUGUCUCUGUUCCUUACUCAGAAACUGAACUCACAGAGUUGUUAUGGACAACAAGAAGAUUUCUGUUUUUAAAUAUUUGGGAGAUGCUCAGAUAUUGUGAUGAUGGGGGGGCCAUAACUGCCUAAGUGGAAGAUAGCUAAUGGGGCAAAGCUAGGGCACUGUUUUGACAGCAGCCAAAAAAAACAAAAUAAAUAAACCAUGUGAAGAUUUCUCCUUAUAGCCACAGGAAGUUCGAACCCACCAUGCUCCCAAAGCACCCUUCCUAGGACAUUGAAAACAAAGCCAGGAAAAAUAGGACAUAACCAAACAGCCCCAUGUUUCCCCAAGAUACUUUCUCCCACCUUACAAUGGAGAAGAGCAUUACCCCAACUACACCUCUGUUCAGGUUCUAACUUUAAUGCAGGAAGCCUUUGGAUUUGCUAUAUUUAUUUAUAAUUUUAGCCCAUAAAAGUUGCAAUUUGGGGGAUAAAGGUUACUCGUUUUCAUUUUUAUCCUGUGACUUUUUAACAAAUUUUUCAGUAUUCUGUUUUAAUUUUUUGGUUGUGUGGCUUCCUUUGUUUACUAAGCAUGUUCUUUCUUAUGACUACUUUAUGAAAAAUAAAUUGGUUCAGCUCUGUCAUCUCUAGAAGUUUAAUGCCUCUUUUGUAGCUGGGUAUAUGCAAUCAGCAGUGUCAGGUCUUGGCAGCAAGUUAGUAAAAACCGAGAUUUCAAAUCUGAGUCAUUUUUAGCAGAGUUUCUAAGAAGUUACAUCUAAAGGUAGAGUUCAGAGGAAAAUGAGAGCUGUAGCAUCUUUAUUUCCUGCAGAUGAAUACUGAAAUUUUUAAUAAGAAAUGGGAUAAUAGACCAGGAAUAAAAAUCCAUCUGAUGAAAAUGUUUUCAUAGCCCUGA